GACGAAGGUGGCGAGCGUUGUUCGGAAUCACUGGGCAUAAAGCGCACGUAGGCGGCGACGUAAGUUGGGUGUGAAAUCCCCCGGCCCAACCGGGGAACUGCGCCCAGUACUGCGUUGCUUGAGGAUCCAAGGGGUGCAUGGAAUUCCCGGUGGAGCGGUGAAAUGCGUUGAUAUCGGGAGGAACUCCGGCGGCGAAAGCGGUGCACUGGUGGAUUACUGACGCUGAGGUGCGAAAGCCAGGGGAGCAAAC
Molecule: ribosomal RNA, 250 nt
Filed under: uncultured bacterium
Lineage: Bacteria
Description: partial 16S ribosomal RNA
Rfam family: Bacterial small subunit ribosomal RNA
Source: RNAcentral